Molecule: ribosomal RNA, 484 nt
Filed under: uncultured bacterium
Lineage: Bacteria
Description: bacterial SSU rRNA
Rfam family: Bacterial small subunit ribosomal RNA
Source: RNAcentral
AUUGAACGCUGGCGGCAUGCCUUACACAUGCAAGUCGAACGGCAGCACGGGAGCAAUCCUGGUGGCGAGUGGCGAACGGGUGAGUAAUAUAUCGGAACGUGCCCGGUCGUGGGGGAUAACGUAGCGAAAGCUACGCCAAUACCGCAUACGAUCUAUGGAUGAAAGCGGGGGAUCGCAAGACCUCGCGCGAUUGGAGCGGCCGAUAUCAGAUUAGGUAGUUGGUGAGGUAAAGGCUCACCAAGCCGACGAUCUGUAGCUGGUCUGAGAGGACGACCAGCCACACUGGGACUGAGACACGGCCCAGACUCCUACGGGAGGCAGCAGUGGGGAAUUUUGGACAAUGGGCGCAAGCCUGAUCCAGCAAUGCCGCGUGCAGGAUGAAGGCCUUCGGGUUGUAAACUGCUUUUGUACGGAACGAAACGGUGAGCUCUAAUACAGUUUGCUAAUGACGGUACCGUAAGAAUAAGCACCGGCUAACUACGUG